AUUAGAUAAAAAACCAAUGCCUUCGGGCUCCUUGGUGAUUCAUGAUAACUUGUCGAAUCGCAUGGCCUUGCGCCGGCGAUGAUUCAUUCAAAUUUCUGCCCUAUCAACCUUCGAUGGUAGGAUAGUGGCCUACCAUGGUUUCAACGGGUAACGGGGAAUUAGGGUUCUAUUCCGGAGAGGGAGCCUGAGAAACGGCUACCACAUCCAAGGAAGGCAGCAGGCGCGCAAAUUACCCAAUCCCGAUACGGGGAGGUAGUGACAAUAAAUACUGAUACAGGGCUCUUUUGGGUCUUGUAAUUGGAAUGUGUACAAUUUAAAUCCCUUAACGAGGAACAAUUGGAGGGCAAGUCUGGUGCCAGCAGCCGCGGUAAUUCCAGCUCCAAUAGCGUAUAUUAAAGUUGUUGCAGUUAAAAAGCUCGUAGUUGAACCUUGGAUUUGGCUGCUCGGUCCGCCUAACCGCGUGCACUGAUGCGGCCGAAUCUUUCCUUCUGGUGAACUUCAUGCUCUUAAUUGGG
Molecule: ribosomal RNA, 515 nt
Filed under: uncultured fungus
Lineage: Eukaryota; Fungi
Description: SSU rRNA
Rfam family: Eukaryotic small subunit ribosomal RNA
Source: RNAcentral